GCUGUCGUCAGCUCGUGUUGUGAAAUGUUGGGUUAAGUCCCGCAACGAGCGCAACCCUUAUCCUUUGUUGCCAGCGAUUAGGUCGGGAACUCAAAGGAGACUGCCAGUGAUAAACUGGAGGAAGGUGGGGAUGACGUCAAGUCAUCAUGGCCCUUACGACCAGGGCUACACACGUGCUACAAUGGCGCAUACAAAGAGAAGCGACCUCGCGAGAGCAAGCGGACCUCAUAAAGUGCGUCGUAGUCCGGAUUGGAGUCUGCAACUCGACUCCAUGAAGUCGGAAUCGCUAGUAAUCGUGGAUCAGAAUGCCACGGUGAAUACGUUCCCGGGCCUUGUACACACCGCCCGUCACACCAUGGGAGUGGGUUGCAAAAGAAGUAGGUAGCUUAACCUUCGGGAGGGCGCUUACCACUUUGUGAUUCAUGACUGGGGUGAAGUCGUAACAAGGUAACCGUAGGGGAACC
This 464-nucleotide ribosomal RNA is filed under the name Salmonella enterica. RNAcentral's name for it is "bacterial SSU rRNA". It matches the Rfam family "Bacterial small subunit ribosomal RNA", at positions 1048 to 1512 of the family's 1533-position model. RNAcentral also lists the same sequence under 1 other name. Lineage: Bacteria; Pseudomonadati; Pseudomonadota; Gammaproteobacteria; Enterobacterales; Enterobacteriaceae. The record is from RNAcentral.